Molecule: unclassified non-coding RNA, 332 nt
Filed under: soil metagenome
Description: partial contains 5.8S ribosomal RNA, internal transcribed spacer 2, and large subunit ribosomal RNA
Rfam family: 5.8S ribosomal RNA (bases 1-120)
Source: RNAcentral
GAUGAAGAACGUAGCAAAAUGCGAUAAGUAAUGUGAAUUGCAGAAUUCAGUGAAUCAUCGAAUCUUUGAACGCACAUUGCGCCCGCCAGUAUUCUGGCGGGCAUGCCUGUUCGAGCGUCAUUUCAACCCUCAAGCACAGCUUGGUGUUGGGACUCGCGUUAAUUCGCGUUCCCCAAAUUGAUUGGCGGUCACGUCGAGCUUCCAUAGCGUAGUAGUAAAACCCUCGUUACUGGUAAUCGUCGCGGCCACGCCGUUAAACCCCAACUUCUGAAUGUUGACCUCGGAUCGGGUAGGAAUACCCGCUGAACUUAAGCAUAUCAAUAAGCGGAGGA